GAAAUUAAGGAGAAUCAUCUUUUUACAACUUGUAAUUAAAUAGAUUUAGUUGGCUUGGCUAUGAUUGCACUGAAUGACUAUGGUUUCGGCAUAAAUUGGGCACUUACAAACUACUAUUCAUAAUUGAUAAUUGGGAACCAGUUCAGGAUUUAUUGUUCGUUAUAAAAAAAAUUUCUCAAUGGAGAAUGGAACUCUUAAUCUUUAUUCCAGAUGCCUUUUUGUAUUCAUCAUUCUUUUGGUAAUUGAUUGUUGAAAAGACUUGGUUCCUUUAAAUAUUUAAAUAUGUUGAUGGAUGUCUAUGCAGGGCCAUAAUUACUGUUCAAAAUUCAAAUGGCUGGGAUAAUGAGAGAGAUUUCCUAUCACAGAUGAAUUGCACCAAGGAUGAGCCUUGUGUCCGUUUCACUUUGGUCAUGAAUGAGUUGACAAUGUAUAUCAAAGAGCUUGGCAUAUGAUGUUCGUUGAUAGUAUGGUUUUAAUUAGCAAAACCUGAUUUGGA
Molecule: unclassified non-coding RNA, 496 nt
Filed under: Hevea brasiliensis (rubber tree)
Lineage: Eukaryota; Viridiplantae; Streptophyta; Magnoliopsida; Malpighiales; Euphorbiaceae
Source: RNAcentral